UACGUAGGGUGCAAGCGUUGUCCGGAAUUAUUGGGCGUAAAGAGCUUGUAGGCGGUUUGUCGCGUCUGCUGUGAAAUUUCGGGGCUCAACCCCGAACUUGCAGUGGGUACGGGCAGACUAGAGUGUGGUAGGGGAGACUGGAAUUCCUGGUGUAGCGGUGAAAUGCGCAAAUAUCAGGAGGAACACCGAUGGCGAAGGCAGGUCUCUGGGCUGUAACUGACGCUGAGGAGCGAAAGCAUGGGGAGCGAACAGG
Molecule: ribosomal RNA, 253 nt
Filed under: uncultured bacterium
Lineage: Bacteria
Description: partial 16S ribosomal RNA
Rfam family: Bacterial small subunit ribosomal RNA
Source: RNAcentral